RNAcentral lists this non-coding RNA (30 nucleotides) under Mus musculus (house mouse). Lineage: Eukaryota; Metazoa; Chordata; Mammalia; Rodentia; Muridae. RNAcentral also lists the same sequence under 2 other names. The record is from RNAcentral.
AACGUGUCGCGAUGGAUGACUUGGCUUCCU